This 371-nucleotide ribosomal RNA is filed under the name Halomonas sp. 7-1. RNAcentral describes it as "bacterial SSU rRNA". It matches the Rfam family "Bacterial small subunit ribosomal RNA", at positions 512 to 882 of the family's 1533-position model. Lineage: Bacteria; Pseudomonadati; Pseudomonadota; Gammaproteobacteria; Oceanospirillales; Halomonadaceae. The record is from RNAcentral.
CAGCCGCGGUAAUACGGAGGGUGCGAGCGUUAAUCGGAAUGACUGGGCGUAAAGCGCGCGUAGGCGGCUUGGUAAGCCGGUUGUGAAAGCCCCGGGCUCAACCUGGGAAUGGCAUCCGGAACUGUCAGGCUAGAGUGCAGGAGAGGAAGGUAGAAUUCCCGGUGUAGCGGUGAAAUGCGUAGAGAUCGGGAGGAAUACCAGUGGCGAAGGCGGCCUUCUGGACUGACACUGACGCUGAGGUGCGAAAGCGUGGGUAGCAAACAGGAUUAGAUACCCUGGUAGUCCACGCCGUAAACGAUGUCGACUAGCCGUUGGGGUCCUCGAGACCUUUGUGGCGCAGUUAACGCGAUAAGUCGACCGCCUGGGGAGUA